This 1372-nucleotide ribosomal RNA is filed under the name uncultured bacterium. Its description in RNAcentral is "bacterial SSU rRNA". It matches the Rfam family "Bacterial small subunit ribosomal RNA", at positions 28 to 1381 of the family's 1533-position model. The record is from RNAcentral.
GAUGAACGCUGGCGGCGUGCCUAAUACAUGCAAGUCGAGCGAACGGACGAGAAGCUUGCUUCUCUGAUGUUAGCGGCGGACGGGUGAGUAACACGUGGAUAACCUACCUAUAAGACUGGGAUAACUUCGGGAAACCGGAGCUAAUACCGGAUAAUAUUUUGAACCGCAUGGUUCAAAAGUGAAAGACGGUCUUGCUGUCACUUAUAGAUGGAUCCGCGCUGCAUUAGCUAGUUGGUAAGGUAACGGCUUACCAAGGCAACGAUGCAUAGCCGACCUGAGAGGGUGAUCGGCCACACUGGAACUGAGACACGGUCCAGACUCCUACGGGAGGCAGCAGUAGGGAAUCUUCCGCAAUGGGCGAAAGCCUGACGGAGCAACGCCGCGUGAGUGAUGAAGGUCUUCGGAUCGUAAAACUCUGUUAUUAGGGAAGAACAUAUGUGUAAGUAACUGUGCACAUCUUGACGGUACCUAAUCAGAAAGCCACGGCUAACUACGUGCCAGCAGCCGCGGUAAUACGUAGGUGGCGAGCGUUAUCCGGAAUUAUUGGGCGUAAAGCGCGCGUAGGCGGUUUUUUAAGUCUGAUGUGAAAGCCCACGGCUCAACCGUGGAGGGUCAUUGGAAACUGGAAAACUUGAGUGCAGAAGAGGAAAGUGGAAUUCCAUGUGUAGCGGUGAAAUGCGCAGAGAUAUGGAGGAACACCAGUGGCGAAGGCGACUUUCUGGUCUGUAACUGACGCUGAUGUGCGAAAGCGUGGGGAUCAAACAGGAUUAGAUACCCUGGUAGUCCACGCCGUAAACGAUGAGUGCUAAGUGUUAGGGGGUUUCCGCCCCUUAGUGCUGCAGCUAACGCAUUAAGCACUCCGCCUGGGGAGUACGACCGCAAGGUUGAAACUCAAAGGAAUUGACGGGGACCCGCACAAGCGGUGGAGCAUGUGGUUUAAUUCGAAGCAACGCGAAGAACCUUACCAAAUCUUGACAUCCUUUGACAACUCUAGAGAUAGAGCCUUCCCCUUCGGGGGACAAAGUGACAGGUGGUGCAUGGUUGUCGUCAGCUCGUGUCGUGAGAUGUUGGGUUAAGUCCCGCAACGAGCGCAACCCUUAAGCUUAGUUGCCAUCAUUAAGUUGGGCACUCUAAGUUGACUGCCGGUGACAAACCGGAGGAAGGUGGGGAUGACGUCAAAUCAUCAUGCCCCUUAUGAUUUGGGCUACACACGUGCUACAAUGGACAAUACAAAGGGCAGCGAAACCGCGAGGUCAAGCAAAUCCCAUAAAGUUGUUCUCAGUUCGGAUUGUAGUCUGCAACUCGACUACAUGAAGCUGGAAUCGCUAGUAAUCGUAGAUCAGCAUGCUACGGUGAAUACGUUCCCGGGUCU